GGGGCUAAAAUUUCUCACCAUCUCUGAUAUCUGGCCGUGCUGGCUGGGGGCUGAUGGGAGACAAAGAGUUAUCUCUGUCUUAACAGGCCUGGAGCUGACAUCUCAAUGAAGAUGCCUGUGUCUCUAAGAACCAUCUUAAGGUCUUGGUGAUUCAAGGCUUGUAAGUAGCACUUUUCUAGCAAAAUAUGGUUUUUCUCCCCCUGAGAGGGGAAAGAAACUGUAGCAAGCGCUUCCAUGGGAGAAUCGACAAAUCUGUUUCAAAGCUUGCACAUAGAAUCACAGAAUUGUAGAUUCUGUGUUAUAGUUAUACUAUUCGGAACCCAACAGGGUCAGUGGAGCGUAUGGUGUCUUUAUAAUAUGUGGUUUAUUUACACAUAUAUACAACCUGAGCCUACGAGGGAGGAGCUCACAGCAUUAACACCUGAGAAGGUCUUGCUUCUCCCAGAGUCACAGCCUUGGAUUCAAGCAGAAAUCAGGCAUGGCUCUCUGUCUACUUGUAGCUUCUAGGUCAAGCACACCAACUCUGGCCUUUGUCUUUCUAACUAACAGAUAGAGCCACUUCUUCUGUUAUCUUAAUGACCCAUACUUGGCCCAUUACCCAGAAACACCACUGGCUAUUCCAGCAAUUGAAUCCCUGUUGGAUCCAGGAAUUAGAAGGAACUCAGGAAUGCAGUCUAUCCCCCAAAUCACAAGACCUGGGGUGUGUGUGUGACAGAAUGGUAGAGUUGGAAGGGGCCACAAUAGACAUCUAGGGUUGCCAUUUUGAAGACUAAAAAAAAAGAGGACAUGUCCUGGAAAAAGAGGACAUAUGGCAACCCUAAUAUUCCAACUUCCUGAAGUGCAGGAAUCUUUUGCCCAAUGUGGGGCUCAAACCCACGACCUUGAGUUUAAGAAUCUCACACUCAGUCGGUCCCAGGGAGUGAUAUAGAAGAUAGGGAAUAUCUUUUCCCAAUGAGCUUCCACUAGCAGAGUCAUACAAACCUUUUACAAACAGAUUCCCUGCUGUGAGUGCAUUAGAACAACAGUUCAUAUUACUAUAUACCGUAUUUUUUGCACCAUAACACUCACUUUUUUCCUCCUAGAAAGUAAGGGGAAAUGUCUGUGCGUGUUAUGGAGGGAAUGCCUACGGGUGGCAGGGGGGAUCUGCUGCAGUCGUGAGCAGAGGAUCCAUGGUUCCCCUUCCUUCCCUCCUCCGUGGCUCGCUUUGAAGCAGCAAAGCAGGAGAAGAGCCCCUGAGGGGGAGGAAAGAGGGACAGAAAGCCUGCUUGCUUUAAAGGAGCAAAGCGGGAGAGGAGAGGAGCCUUCUCCCCUUAUACCCCUCUUCUUCAUUAUUAGGAGCAUCCUUCUCCACCCACCCCACGCAUGCUCCUUGUCCCUUGAGUGCUUUUCCUUCCCUCCCCACUUAAAACGUGGUUACAAAGCACGGAUCCACAUGGAUCCUCAGGAUUUUUGCACUGGGUCACCCCAAAUUCACCAUCAGAUCACAUAGCAUGUCCAUGGCUACAUCUUGCACCAAAAAAAUAACUCACCCACUGUUGCCUUGGGCCGCAGUGGUGCAAAAACGUGGUUACAAAGCAUGGAUCCACAUGGAUCCUCAGGAUUUUUGCAUUGGGCUACUCCAAACUCACUGUCAGAUCACAUGUCUGUGGCCACAGCAUGAACCACAAAAAUCACACAUCCACUGUUUCGUUUAGAAUAUUUUUUUCCUUGUUUUCCUCCUCUAAAAACUACGUGCGUGUUAUGGUCGGGUGCGUGUUAUAGAGCAAAAAAUACAGUAGUUUUAGAAGUUUAUCAUUAUUUUGAAUGACACAGUGCUUCCUUGCAGGCAUAAAAUCAGUGUGUUCUGCAUCUAAGAAACUGACCCUAAUUCAGCAAAGCUGAGGGUGGAUCUGAGUGAUCUGACUGUGAGAGGGAAAGUGCAGAAAGAGCUAAAACUUGGUGUCUUGUAUGUGCAUGUUUUAGAAAAGGGCACGACAGCCCAGGAGGAAAUAUUAAGAGAGCAGCAUGCUGGUGAGAUGGCAAUGGAAGAGAAUGGAGCAAAACUAGACUAGAGGAAACAUUAGGUAAAGGUAAAGGGACCCUUGACCAUUAGGUCCAGUCGUGACCGACUCUGGGGUAGCGGCGCUCAUCUUGCUUUAUUGGCUGAGGGAGCCGGCAUACAGCUUCCGGGUCAUGUGGCCAGCAUGACUAAGCCACUUCUGGAGCAGCGCACGGAAACGCCAUUUACCUUCAGGUAGGUUAAAACCUGUUAUAAGGAAAGGGAGAAUUGAUGAUGAGGAUUAAACUUUUAAAAUAUGUUCCUAAGAGGAGAAAGAAUUUUAGGAUAAUUCUCUGUUCUGAACAACAGCAGUGGAACAUGAGCAGUGGGACUGUUGUUGCCAUGCUAAACGGCUGGAGCACACCUUGUUGGAGGAGUUUUUGCGGUUGAAAGCUAACUUCUGUUGUGCUCACAACCUGCAAAGCUCUGCUUUCACAUCAGAGGCCUGGAUAAAGUUUGGUAUAUAUGUAAAGGCUGCUCCACACAAUAUGCAUUUCCUGCACAAUAGAUGUUGUGUGUCACUAUAGAUUUACAGAUUGUGAUUUAGCCUCAUCUACGAUGAACAGGUUGUUACAGAAAUCCUCUGCCCUGUUGAAAUUGGUGGAACUCAGAAAUAGGUGCCAAGGUCCCUUCCCCACCCCCGAAAAUAUUUGAGGUCGGGUCACCCCAAAGUUGGUGGGCAUUGCCAUUCAAUUUGUGUGCCUGCACCAUGGCAUGUGAUCGAUUAUGUCAGGCGGGGCUUACCUGCCCCCUCCAAUAUUUUAUUCAAGUUGGCACCCCUGAACUCAGCUGCGCUGCACUGUUCUCUUUUGAUUGCUCCCAUUGAGAUGAAUGGGAAUCAUCUAAUGGGAAGAAGGACUGCGGCUGCAUUCUUGCAAAACCUGCAGCUAAUGAGGCAUGCAUGCACAUAGUGGACAUUUGGUUUUUUAAAAACAGUAACCCCCGGCUUGCCAUUUAAAGUCUCACAUGGCGUGUGCUCCUUGGACCUACCUACAGAAGCUAUUCUGAAGCUAAAGAAACAACAGUAUAGUAGCCUAGGUGUUUUGCAAAGCCAUCUGUGAUCUUGCUUUUGCAACAAGUGUUAGGCUGGAUCCAGGCACUAAAAAUAUAUAUAUCAGGAAAACGCAUUGUAAACCUCAAAAUGGGAAAUUGCAUUGCCGAAAGACGGGAACUCCAUAGCGCCAUCUGGUGUCACAUUUAAGACGCUUUCUUUUACUAAUGCUGAUGAGUCCCUAGACAACGUUUCGAAGGUAAAAGAAGAAAAAAAUCUGCUAAACAAGCCGCAGUCUAAUAAAGUAGGUACAAAUGCAAGCAGACAUAUAGAUACAUGUGAUCCCCUCUGCUCCCCACCCCAGUGGUUGGAAUCCAGCAUGAUUUCAUUGACUUUGCUGGAGAUACGGCUGAUUUACUGUGAGAUUGGAAUCAGGUUCCAUGAAUGCAACUUAUUUCAAAACAUGACCAGAGGGGAAGAGGGUGAAAAAUAUCUAGAAUUAAAAAUAGUGUUGCACAUCUUGACAUUUUUCACAUUGUUGGGUUCCAAAUAGUUUUAACUAUAACCGUGGUCAGACCUCAGGAAUGCCUCCUCAGUGAAGGACUUCUGUUGCAGAGCUUUUUGGCAACCCUCCUGGCUUUAUAAUCAGCAUUUUCUCCAGUAUCGUUUUUAUACGUUUGAGGGUUUCUUUCUGCAGCGAGUGCAGCUACUGUUCACCGGAAUCUCUGCGCAAAGGGCUAAGCAUGUUUAGAAGUCAAGCCAUCAGCAAGGAGGCCCUAAAGCUCUUAGUAUUAGGAACCAGGCCAUUAGCAUCCGGAUCUGAAAACUGCAGCCAAGGUUGGGACUGUUGUUCCUUGUGUUUUUCUUUCCCCCUUAUCAAGAAACUAGAUUCCAUUUUUGCAGGAAACAGGCUGCAUUCUCGUUGCUCCAUAUUUUUAAUGACCCCUAGAGAAACGUUGUCAGAACAUAUUUCUCCAACUGGCUAAGGCAAACGCUUUUACUGCCACCACACUCCGAAGUACAAAAACACUGCUUGCCAUUUUAUCAAGGAAAGAGAGCUCCACGCCCACCGCUCCACAUUUUUAAUUUAUACAUUUUCUUCUCUCAUGCGUAGAAAACCCACAAACAUUUUUCUCUUUUUCCCUCUUUCCUAUUUUUCAUUCCGGUUGAAACUAUCGUUUACUGUAUUUCCAUGUGUGUCUUUUCAUUUAAAAAAAAGCCUAUUUUUUUCUGGAUAAAAAAAAUUAUUUGGGUCUGAAUGUGUGAAAUGUUCUAUGGAAGAGAGAAGUUAAGUGAUGGUGUAAAUGCAUUGUGUGUAUGUAUUCUAAAAUUUAAAUAGAUUGUACAUAUUGGAUUGUAAAUGAACUGUAAACAAGCAAUAUAUAUUUUCUUGAACAUAUAUAGUGGUAUAUAUUUGUUAAAUAAGCAAACUUGUAUACUCUUAAUUAACCUUUUAAAUAUUUUGUACAGAUAAGUUUAUUAAAUAUUUUAUUG
RNAcentral lists this long non-coding RNA (4523 nucleotides) under Podarcis lilfordi (Lilford's wall lizard). The record is from RNAcentral. Lineage: Eukaryota; Metazoa; Chordata; Lepidosauria; Squamata; Lacertidae.